RNAcentral lists this long non-coding RNA (1232 nucleotides) under Cricetulus griseus (Chinese hamster). RNAcentral's name for it is "lncRNA (ENSCGRG00015033435.1)". The record is from RNAcentral. Lineage: Eukaryota; Metazoa; Chordata; Mammalia; Rodentia; Cricetidae.
CCCAAGGGGUCCUUAGAGCAAAGCACUUCAUCAGUCUCAAAAGGCACCUUUACCUGUGCCAUGAUCUGCCUACAUGUGCCUCCAAAUCCCCACAUCAGCAAGAGUACCUGUCACCCACUGGGGACUGCUGAAAUGCCUUCAGCAGGGAGUUCUGCUCAGAGCCUGGCUGGGGAGUAGAAGGCUACCUGGGCCCAGGAAUAAGCCACAACCCUGAGGCCCCAUAUAGGGCAUUUUAUGGUCCAAACAAGAGAAAAUGUUCUCAAUCUGUAGUCCAAACCUGUUACUCCAGCUACUUGGGAGGUUGAGGCAGGAUUAUUUCAAGGCCAACUUGUAUGUUGUGAGAUCCUACCUCAAAAUAAAAGUAAAAAUAGGCCUGGCUCAGGGAUGGAUGCCCAGUGAGGGGCUGAGGACGUGGUCAGUGGCAAGUAGUCACCUAGCAUGACACCAUCCUCAGCAGAGGCACUAGAAACAGCUCAGUUGAAAGCACACAUGGCAUUCCAGGAUUUGAAUGUGACCAGCACCCAUGUUGGCUGGUUUACAAUAGCUUGUAACUCCAGCUCCAGUGGAUCCAAUGCCCGUGAUUCCCUCAGACAACCCACACAUAUGGCAUAUAUUAAAAAUAGCUGGGCUGUGGUGAUGCAUGCCUUUAAUCCCAGCACUCAAGAGGCAGAGGCAAGAGGAUCUUUGUGGCCAGCCACAUACCCAGUGAGACACUGUCUGGAGAGGGAAGGAAAUGAGAUAGAGGAGAAAAAACAAGAGCUCUGGGGAGGCCCAAUGUCUGGCUAACAUCACUGGACAGUCUCCUGCCUACUGUCAACCCCUGCACACAUGAACUACGUUUUUUUCCAAAUGAGGGUUUCUCUGUGUCGUUUUGCAGACCAGGCUGGUCUCUUAACUGAGAUUCGCCUGCCUCUGCCUUGAGUGUUGGGAUUAAACGUGUGUGCCACCACUGUCCUGCUACACAUGAACUAUUUACCUGAGUAAAGCUAUUGAGGACAUCUCAGAGUACAUCUUUUGGGAACAUAACACCAUGCACGUGUGGUUGGGAAUGUUUGUCUCCCUCACCCAGGGUCCCCAGAUGGAAAGGGGGUUGGAGAAGCUUAUGUAGCACUACUGUUACUGAAGGUAUCCACAGCCUUUUGCUUUUGUCUGGCUGUGUAAUCCAGGAGGCUUAUAAUCGCAAUCUUCCUGCCCCAGUCUUCCUGACACUAGGAUGAUGGGCACAGCCUUGU